GACGAACGCUGGCGGCAUGCCUAAUACAUGCAAGUCGAGCGAACAGACGAGGAGCUUGCUCCUCUGACGUUAGCGGCGGACGGGUGAGUAACACGUGGAUAACCUACCUAUAAGACCGGGAUAACUUCGGGAAACCGGAGCUAAUACCGGAUAAUAUAUUGAACCGCAUGGUUCAAUAGGUAAAGACGGUUUUGCUGUCAGUUAUAGAUGGAUCCGCGCCGCAUUAGCUAGUUGGUAAGGUAACGGCUUACCAAGGCAACGAUGGGUAGCCGACCUGAGAGGGUGAUCGGCCACACUGGAACUGAGGCACGGUCCAGACUCCUACGGGAGGCAGCAGUAGGGAAUCUUCCGCAAUGGGCGAAAGCCUGACGGAGCAACGCCGCGUGAGUGAUGAAGGUCUUCGGAUCGUAAAACUCUGUUAUUAGGGAAGAACAAAUGUGUAAGUAACUAUGCACGUCUUGACGGUACCUAGUCAGAAAGCCACGGCUAACUACGUGCCAGCCGCCGCCGUAA
This 513-nucleotide ribosomal RNA is filed under the name uncultured bacterium. RNAcentral's name for it is "partial 16S ribosomal RNA". It matches the Rfam family "Bacterial small subunit ribosomal RNA", at positions 28 to 523 of the family's 1533-position model. The record is from RNAcentral.